Molecule: ribosomal RNA, 892 nt
Filed under: uncultured Nocardia sp.
Lineage: Bacteria; Bacillati; Actinomycetota; Actinomycetes; Mycobacteriales; Nocardiaceae
Description: bacterial SSU rRNA
Rfam family: Bacterial small subunit ribosomal RNA
Source: RNAcentral
GAGUUUGAUCCUGGCUCAGGACGAACGCUGGCGGCGUGCUUAACACAUGCAAGUCGAACGGUAAGGCCCUUCGGGGUACACGAGUGGCGAACGGGUGAGUAACACGUGGGUGAUCUGCCCUGCACUUCGGGAUAAGCCCGGGAAACUGGGUCUAAUACCGGAUAGUACUGCGCGGUGCAUGCCGUGUGGUGGAAAGAUUUAUCGGUGCAGGAUGGGCCCGCGGCCUAUCAGCUUGUUGGUGGGGUAAUGGCCUACCAAGGCGACGACGGGUAGCCGGCCUGAGAGGGCGACCGGCCACACUGGGACUGAGACACGGCCCAGACUCCUACGGGAGGCAGCAGUGGGGAAUAUUGCACAAUGGGCGCAAGCCUGAUGCAGCGACGCCGCGUGAGGGAUGACGGCCUUCGGGUUGUAAACCUCUUUCAGCAGGGACGAAGCGCAAGUGACGGUACCUGCAGAAGAAGCACCGGCCAACUACGUGCCAGCAGCCGCGGUAAUACGUAGGGUGCAAGCGUUGUCCGGAAUUACUGGGCGUAAAGAGCUCGUAGGCGAUUUGUCGCGUCGUCUGUGAAAACCAGCCGCUCAACUGUUGGCUUGCAGGCGAUACGGGCAGACUUGAGUAUUUCAGGGGAGACUGGAAUUCCUGGUGUAGCGGUGAAAUGCGCAGAUAUCAGGAGGAACACCGGUGGCGAAGGCGGGUCUCUGGGAAAUAACUGACGCUGAGGAGCGAAAGCGUGGGUAGCGAACAGGAUUAGAUACCCUGGUAGUCCACGCCGUAAACGGUGGGCGCUAGGUGUGGGUUUCCUUCCACGGGAUCCGUGCCGUAGCUAACGCAUUAAGCGCCCCGCCUGGGGAGUACGGCCGCAAGGCUAAAACUCAAAGGAAUUGACGG